Molecule: transfer RNA, 35 nt
Filed under: Aphyllon cooperi
Lineage: Eukaryota; Viridiplantae; Streptophyta; Magnoliopsida; Lamiales; Orobanchaceae
Also listed under: 1 other name
Description: partial tRNA-Lys
Source: RNAcentral
CCGACUAGUUCCGGGUUCAAAUCCCGGGUAACCCA